CGAAACUCAAAGAUACUUUCAAUCAACGCGUGCACUGUACACCUCCACUCAAUGGUUUACUCGUAAUUUCACCCUUCUCCAAAUUUCCUUCUUCAACUAACUUUCGCUAGCUCGUCAGAAUUAUCUCGGCAUUUUAUUCUUUUCUAUAAAUAUAUAAAAACCACAUCUUUAUCGCUCUCGAAACCUUCUCUUCUCUCUCUUUCUCUUCUCUUUGAAGCUCUACCCUUCUCUUCUCUCUCACAAACAUCUUUAAAGUAUCUCUAACAAGAAACUCUCUUUCUCUUCCGAUCUAUAUCGAUUCUGGUUUAUGAGGUAAUCAAUUCAAUUACUUUAAAGAUCUGAAUUUUAUUAAUUUUGUUUAUAAUUAGGUAUAAUACAAUUUCGAUCUUUCCAUCAUCAUUUUCAUGUUCAUUAAAUCUACGAUUUGUGUUCUACUAUCGAUCAAUUUCUUCUUACAUCUUGUUAUGGAAAUCUUUGAUCUGCAUCUGUUUUAUUAGGGUUUCUUGUUUCUUUUAACAUUUGGGGGUUUUCAAGAAUUCGUUUGGGAAAAUAUGUUUAUAGCAUUAGGUAUAGUUUGAUUUAAGUUUUUUUUUGAGGUGAUUUGCUCUUAUUGGUCGAAAUUGUGGUUUUCAAGUAUUAGGUAUUUUCUUGAUUAUGAGACAUGAGAGGUGUAAUUGUGAUUUUCUGAUGUUUUAUCAUUUGUUUUGGGGAGCUAUGGCUUGGUAAUUUUGUAAUAAAUUUUUUAAUGUUUUGAGGCAAAUAUUUGGGUUUAUACUGUGAUGGGCAUUUUUAUUUAGGUCUUAGAAUUCACUUUUAGUGGUUUGGUACUCUUUAUUGUUUUCAGGGAUAGAAUUUCCAUACAUGUUAGGUUAAAAUGUAUGUUUUUGUUGUAUUAGAGUUCAAAUGUUAGCUAUACUGAUAAUUUGCUCUUCUUUUGCAGCUCGAUGGAGAGACUCACUCUUGGGUAUGUUAUUUCUACACCAAUUGUUUCUUUUAAUAUUAGUUGCAAUUUUGCCAUAUUUUAUGACCAUUAGACAUCAAUGACUGAUGUUCUUGUUGUAUUUGUAUGAUUCUGAAUUACUUACAGUAAAUUGAUUUGUAUGUUUCAUGUAUUCAUGUUUAAUACUUGGAGUGUUUUAUCACUUUUAUGAUAUCCAUGUUACUAUAAAUCUGCAUUGAUGUAGAGUUUCAAAGUUACUAACUUGUUUUAGCUAUGACAAUGAUUCCGUUACACAGAAAAAUAAUUUAGUUAAUGUAUUGCUCUGAUCCCUGGACAAUACUUGCUUUAAACUUAUUGCUGUACUGCCAUGCUUUUUGGCUCAUAAUUGAUUGAACCCGUUGCAGAUUGUUUACCUUUUGUAGAUUUUAAUUGCAUUGUUGUUAUAUUUUCAAUGAUCUUUUUUUCUCAUUGAAUAUUGAACUCAAAAAUAAUAAUCUUGAUAUCUCCAACUCAUGUCUUGUUAAGAUCCCAGGUUUUGCAAGCGCCGAGAACUUUAUUAUAUUAAGAUUUUUGACAAUGAUAAAAUCCAUAAAUAUUUGGCCAUUGUAUACACAAACGGCGGUCUUAAGUUAAUUGUUUUGGUCUCCAAAGAAUUGGAAUACUUGUUAUUAAAGAUUGUGGGUAUGUGCAAAGAAAAAAAAGUUGGUUAUUAUCCUUGAGGAUAAGUCACGGAAUACCAUAACUUGUGACUGUCUUUUGGAGGAGGCUCCCAGUUACAGCAAUUCCUUUGCUUUUAAUUUCAACUUGAUCUUGAUUUUCAAUUUGUCUGUCAGUACCCUGUUGGCAACUAAAUCUUUCACUUCAUAAAGCUUGUUUUGCAUAUAAACCCUCAUAUCUUUAAUGCAUUUGUCUCUAUAAAAGCUUCAGCUAGUGUUGCUUUCUCUUCGAACUUCCUUUGAUUUUGUUCUCUCCAGAUAAAGUUAACAGUGGCACAAACCAAAAUUUUGAAUGCGUCUACAUUCAUACCCUUCUUCCUACUUCUCUGAAUAAUAUGUUCCCAAAUGGGUUUAAUUAACCCUAGUGAACUUAUCAGUUACCCAACCACUUUAUAAACACAUGGCAUCUAAUAAUUGGAUGUACACACCCAUAGACCAUAUGUUACACAUAUGAAUUUUUUUUGUGUGCUUGUGUGCAACGCCUCAUGUUGUUUUUAAUAACUGAUUUCACAAAAAUUGCAAGAAGAUCUUGGUCUAGCUUCCAAGUGGAAAGACAGAAAUGGAAACCUACCUCGAAACUCAAAGAUACUUUCAAUCAACACGUGCACUGUACACCUCCACUCAAUGGUUUACUCGUAAUUUCACCCUUCUCCAAAUUUCCUUCUUCAACUAACCUUCGCUAGCUCGUCAGAAUUAUCUCGGCAUUUUAUUCUUUUCUAUAAAUGUAUAAAAACCACAUCUUUCUCUCUCUCGAAACCUUCUCUUCUCUCUCUUUCUCUUCUCUU
RNAcentral lists this long non-coding RNA (2441 nucleotides) under Aquilegia coerulea. RNAcentral describes it as "long non-coding RNA (ACOE_LNC001625)". The record is from RNAcentral. Lineage: Eukaryota; Viridiplantae; Streptophyta; Magnoliopsida; Ranunculales; Ranunculaceae.